This 74-nucleotide transfer RNA is filed under the name Rickettsiales bacterium. RNAcentral's name for it is "tRNA-Thr". It matches the Rfam family "tRNA". From Rfam's summary of the family: Transfer RNA (tRNA) molecules are approximately 80 nucleotides in length. Their secondary structure includes four short double-helical elements and three loops (D, anti-codon, and T loops). Further hydrogen bonds mediate the characteristic L-shaped molecular structure. tRNAs have two regions of fundamental functional importance: the anti-codon, which is responsible for specific mRNA codon recognition, and the 3' end, to which the tRNAs corresponding amino acid is attached (by aminoacyl-tRNA synthetases). tRNAs cope with the degeneracy of the genetic code in two manners: having more than one tRNA (with a specific anti-codon) for a particular amino acid; and 'wobble' base-pairing, i.e. permitting non-standard base-pairing at the 3rd anti-codon position. The record is from RNAcentral. Lineage: Bacteria; Pseudomonadati; Pseudomonadota; Alphaproteobacteria; Rickettsiales.
GCCCGCAUAGUAUAAUGGUAGAACACGUCCUUGGUAAGGACGAGACGGCAGUCCGAUUCUGCCUGCGGGCACCA